This 253-nucleotide ribosomal RNA is filed under the name uncultured bacterium. RNAcentral's name for it is "partial 16S ribosomal RNA". It matches the Rfam family "Bacterial small subunit ribosomal RNA", at positions 524 to 776 of the family's 1533-position model. The record is from RNAcentral.
UACGUAGGGUCCGAGCGUUGUCCGGAAUUAUUGGGCGUAAAGGGCUCGUAGGCGGUCUGUCGCGUCGGUAGUGAAAACUUACAGCUUAACUGUGAGCGUGCUUCCGAUACGGGCAGACUGGAGGUAUGCAGGGGAGAACGGAAUUCCUGGUGUAGCGGUGAAAUGUGCAGACAUCAGGAGGAACACCGGUGGCGAAGGCGGUUCUCUGGGCAUGUCCUGACGCUGAGGAGCGAAAGUGUGGGGAGCGAACAGG